GCCCAGCCUUUGCUUGCAGCCAAAACAGGAAAGAGAAUGAAGGAGACUAGAAAUACCAUAAAGACAAACUUGGAGCUAGUGCCGACCAAACCAAUUCCCUGCUUCAGAAAUGGAACGGUGCUGAACUGUCAGCUGAAGAAGGCUGCACAGCUUGAAAGAGGAAGCGUCAAAGGAAGCUUGGUGGAGAGGAGAGUGUGAAUAGGGAAGUGCCAACAGGGACACGUGCAGGGGGUGGGAAGGCAGGCAGGACGCCCAGUGAGAGUGACAGAGGCCAGCAGAGCAUGAGUGUGCAAGGAAACACGGAACGAGAGGCUGCGUGGGUGACAGAGUGUGCCGGGGUGACAGGCGGAUACGGCACAUGACGCAGAGUGGAAGACAACCACAGGUGAAGUGUAAACAAAGACCUGCAGGAAGUAAAGGGGCUACAAGGGAUCCAUGGAAAGAGCAUUAUCAGAAGGGGGGCCGGGGCAGUGCGCGCAGUGAGGAGAGCAGGUGUGUGUGAGGUUGAAACAAAACGUUCAAAGCCCCCUCGGAAGCCCAUCCACAGGUGUGUGACUGUGAACCGCAUCGUAAUCUCCUAGAAAGCAAGAACAUCAGGCUUACAUUUUCCACUUGCCUCUCAGGGCUCAGAGCUCUGCAGUAUAUACAUACUUUUCAGCCAGGGGCAAUUUGCCCCCCUGCCGCGGAGACAUUUGGCAAUGUCUGGAGACACUUUUGGAGUCACAAAUCAGGGGAGAGAUGCUGCUGGUACAUAGUAGUUGAGGAAACUGGGCCCUGAGACAUUAACUUGCCCAAAAGAUCACAGUGGGCAACAUUCUAGAGCACAAUGGAAGCCGACAGCAAUGUCGGUGAAGACGGAAAACAGAACGUGGAGAGAGAUGUAGCUACUAGACCCCUGUGGCUUCAAUCCCCACCAGGAAUGUCGUUUAAGAGGAAGGUGAUCUAGCACAAAUUCACAUUUGCUUGAGGAAGAAUACAAAUGACAUAUCACACACCAAGCGUGUGCAAAGCACUCUACCUAAAGAUCAGCGCUAACAGAGGAAUAAGCAGAGGCCUCCAGGAGCAAAGAGUGAAAAGUCUGGCAAGGCUUCAAGUACGGGGGAAGUGGGUGGAGCUUUCACUGUAGAAUCUUUCCUGGAGAAAAAGCAAAGAGUGGGGCAACAAUAAAGGCAUUAAAAAUAACUGUCAAGUUGAAGAAAAAGUGAGUAGUGAUGUGGCU
This is a long non-coding RNA of Gorilla gorilla gorilla (western lowland gorilla), 1219 nucleotides long. RefSeq lists it as uncharacterized. NCBI's taxonomy places the organism in Eukaryota, Metazoa, Chordata, Mammalia, Primates, Hominidae. The record is from RefSeq and is a predicted model, not a curated record. The transcript is spliced from 7 exons.